UACAGAGGGUGCAAGCGUUAAUCGGAAUUACUGGGCGUAAAGCGUGCGUAGACGGUUACAUAAGUCGGGUGUGAAAGCCCCGGGCUCAACCUGGGAAUUGCAUUCGAGGCUGCGUAGCUAGGGUACGGUAGAGGGAAGCGGAAUUUCCGGUGUAGCGGUGAAAUGCGUAGAUAUCUGAAGGAACACCAGUGGCGAAAGCGGCUUCCUGGUCCAGUACCGACGUUCAGGCACGAAAGCGUGGGGAGCAAACAGG
RNAcentral lists this ribosomal RNA (253 nucleotides) under uncultured bacterium. RNAcentral describes it as "partial 16S ribosomal RNA". It matches the Rfam family "Bacterial small subunit ribosomal RNA", at positions 524 to 776 of the family's 1533-position model. The record is from RNAcentral.